This is a long non-coding RNA of Myotis davidii, 2297 nucleotides long. RefSeq lists it as uncharacterized. NCBI's taxonomy places the organism in Eukaryota, Metazoa, Chordata, Mammalia, Chiroptera, Vespertilionidae. The record is from RefSeq and is a predicted model, not a curated record. The transcript has 8 exons.
AGUAGAAUUGCAAAGUUCAGAAAGUACCUGUAUUUUUAUGUUAAUGACUAACAUUUUUAUAAAUAAAAAUUCAACCCAUAAUAUAUCGAUAAGGCUGGUGAAUGGAAUCAAAUUUACUUUUCCAGGUGUCACGCCUAGUCCAGCAACCAAGCCUCCAGUUUCAAGUAGUCCUGGACAUCCCCCUCCUGAUGAAACACCAUCUCAAUCAUUAGGUGCAGGAGUCAUUGUUGCGAUUGUUUUAGCUGUUGUUGUUGUUGUCGUGGGACUCAUCAUCUGCGUAUACUGUCAGAAGAAGAGGAAAGGUUCUGCAACAAAUCAUGGACCAUGAUGGGACCUUCCCUACUGUUGCAGAAAAACUGAUGGGGGUUAAACUUGCUGAGAGGGCCCUUUUCCCUUCCUCUGUUCAGCACCUACCUAACUGGUGAGAGCCACAAAGAAGUAAGAUUUAUUUCUCUAUGAGAAGAAGAGGUGAGAGAAGGGUUUGCUUUUAUCAUCAUAAGGAAAACAGAAGGCAAUGCUGCCUACAGCACAUACCAGAGUAAAUCAAGCACUCCGGCACAGUAGACGCUCUGACAGACUUUCCAGAACGCUCCACCACUUCGUUUUUAAAAUGUCAAGAAAGACCCACAUUAAAUUCGAUGGCUACUAUGCAAAACAGUAUGGAGGGCCCUCAAAAUUAGAACCGGAGCCACCCUAUGAUCUUAUGGGAAUAUAUCUGAGUGAAGGGAAAUCACUGUGGAAGAGAGAAUCUUCUGCCCCUCCCUGUUUGUUGCAGCACUAUGUACAAUAACAAAGACAUGGAAGCAAUCUGAAGUGUCCGUCAGCCAAUCAGUGGAUAAGGGAGAUGUAUGCACGUACAGUGAAAUACUAUUCAGUCAUUAAAAAGGAAAACGUGUAUUGGCCUUCAGGACAUUUUGCUAAGUGAAAUAAGUCAUAUAUAUAAAGAGAGAAAUACUGUAUGAUCUCCUUUAUAUGUAGAGUCUAUUUUAAACUCAUCAAAGAAGAAAUCAGAUUUGUGGUUGGUGGGGUGAGAAUUGGAUGAAGGUAGUGGUCAAAAGAUUCAAAUUUAGUUAUAAGCACGUAUUGGAAUGUAACAUACAGCAUGGUGACUAUAACUAGUAAUACUUUAUUGCAUAUUGGCAAGUUCCUUAAAGAAUAGAUCUUAAAAAUUCUGGUCACAAGGAAAAAGAUUUUUUUUUUUGUAACUAUAUGAGUUGAUAGAUGGUAACUAAAAUUUGCUCAUUUCAUAAUAAACUUAUCAAAUCCUUACACUGUACACCUUAAACUUAGAUAAUGUUACAUAUCAAUUACAUCUCCAUGAACUAGAAGGGGGGAAAGAUCUACAAAGGCGUUCUCUGGUUUAUUUCACUGUGAAGGCAUAAUGCUAACAUCUCAGUGCCGCUUGGGUGUAGUCACUAUCCUUUGACCCCUCUGAAAUGGGUGUGAACUUGGGAAUGAACAUCUAGCCUGGUAUCCCUUAAAAAAACAUUUGCAUUUAUAGAGCAAUUCAACACAGUGCCCUUGGAUUAUGGUAGGAAAAGGAUGUUUUUUAUAAACUCUGAAUAUUUAGAGAAGUAUAGUUUAAAAAUGAGACAUUUCAUCUAUAAAGAAUGUGAUUUUGCAAUGUUCAUUUCCAAAGUUAAUACCAACUUUCAAGACUCUUUUAACAACUCUAUUGUGUGUAUUGUAGAUAGUUUAUUGUAAAAAGUCUUUACAAAUAUGUGUAUACUGCUUCAGCCCUUAAAAAUUAAAAACUAUCACUGAAAACUGGGAAUUUGAGUUAAGUGUGACCUCCUUAACUAAGAAUAUUAUGGGAAAGUAAUUUUAAGGGGAUGGGAUAAGUUUCUAUUUUGCAAAAUAUAUUUUAACUUCUUGAUGAUUUAGAGAAGCCAUGAAGUUAAUGUGUGGCAUUUGUUGUUCACGUUUUCUAACAUCAACAAACAAGCCUGAGAAUAACAAUUUAGGCUCAGUUGCUUGCUUCUGUGAAAAGUUAGAGGGCGCUAACAUUCCUAACACGAAUGCCCGCUUGGUACAAAGUGAACACUGUGGCCUUGUAGUUUUCUUGGGGAGAAUUCCCCUCUUUAAGAGAGAACAUAGAAUGCGCUCUGAACUCUGGCCUAGGGGGAUUUCUCUCCCGACUUGAAUAAAAAGCUCUCUCACUUCAGUAAGUCACCUGGCAGUCGUUUGUAGGGAGUAAAUUCAACAGAUAUCCCAAGUUGCAUCAGAAUUAGUCUUUGUGUGGGUCUCACCUCACCUGCUAAAAGGCAGAGUAAACAUUAACCACGUAUUUCAGAAAA